GUUAUGACCCUUUGAAUUCUUAACCAUUUAUUCCACUAACAACCUACUGUUACCAACUAAACUGCCUAAUCAUCAGUCUAAUUCUCAAGGUUGUCAAUAACCAACUAGUAACUUACCACAAAGUUUAUUUAUCUAUUCUACAUAGCCCCACUCCUAAUUGUGCAGCAUCCUCGCAAAUAUUAUUUAGCCUCAACUUAUAAAGUCAUAAGAGCGUUGGCUUCUUCAGUCAAUGGCGUUGGCUUACCACCCUUUGAAUUGGUGACCUUCUCCUCUUUACAUCUUCGUCAUCUAUCUCAGUGUUUGAGGAUUAUCCAUCCAAACGCGUCGUCAGAUCUUCAUUCAACAUAUCCAAUUCCCGUACCUAAGACUUACGUCAGGCAAUUUGGUUGUCACGCUCCUCCAACAUCUUCUGCCAUUCUUUUGUCGAUUUCAAAGGUAUCUCUGAAGGUGUUAUCGCUGAAACUGGCAUAUUGGUCCACACUAAAUUAUUGGCCUCCUUCGCUAAUGCAGCUAGUUUAGUCUGCAACAUCGCAACCUCUACUUGCAACCGUUCUUGUCGUUUCUUCCAAUCGGUCUCUAUCGUUACUAUCUCACAUACCAUGUUUGUCAUCUUCUCCUUAAUCACGAAAGAAAA
Molecule: long non-coding RNA, 634 nt
Filed under: Physcomitrium patens
Lineage: Eukaryota; Viridiplantae; Streptophyta; Bryopsida; Funariales; Funariaceae
Description: long non-coding RNA (PPAT_LNC010350)
Source: RNAcentral